RNAcentral lists this long non-coding RNA (367 nucleotides) under Setaria viridis. RNAcentral describes it as "long non-coding RNA (SVIR_LNC010786)". The record is from RNAcentral. Lineage: Eukaryota; Viridiplantae; Streptophyta; Magnoliopsida; Poales; Poaceae.
GAUUAGAGCUAGGAUUAGUCUCCAAUCUUAAUCCCUGAAGUUUUAAACACUCUCAAGCCUUCAUUUCAUAUUUUUGCCAAAUUUUUCUGAAUUUAAAUUCAAAAUUCAAAUUUUGGUCAAAUUUGACUUGAAUUUGACUUUUAGUCAAUUUCUUCUCUUUUUCACCACAAUGCAUCUUUAACUUUUCUUAGUCACCUUUGGUUAUUGAAACACCAGGUGUUACACUCACCGUCGCCCGCCGUCCCACUCCCCGCUAGUACAGGCCGACGCCCCCCUCCUUGCACCUGAACUGCUACCGCCGGGACCCUUGCUGACGCAAGCUCGUGGCUUGCUGACGCAAGGGCCCCGACUUUUACUAUUUUAGUUA